CCUACGGGUGGCAGCAGUGAGGAAUAUUGGUCAAUGGACGCAAGUCUGAACCAGCCAUGCCGCGUGCAGGAAGACGGCUCUAUGAGUUGUAAACUUCUUUUGUACGAGGAUAAACUCAGAUACGCGUAUCUGUCUGAAAGUACCGUACGAAUAAGGAUCGGCUAACUCCGUGCCAGCAGCCGCGGUAAUACGGAGGAUUCAAGCGUUAUCCGGAUUUAUUGGGUUUAAAGGGUGCGUAGGCGGUCGGAUAAGUUAGAGGUGAAAUCCCGAGGCUCAACUUCGGAAUUGCCUCUGAUACUGUUCGGCUAGAGAGUAGGUGCGGUAGGCGGAAUGUAUGGUGUAGCUGUGAUAUGCUUAGAGAUCAUACAGAACACAGAGUGCGAAGGCAGCUUACCAAGCUAAUUCUGACGUUGGGGCACGAAAGCGUGGGGAGCAAACAGGAUGAGAUACCCCUGUUC
RNAcentral lists this ribosomal RNA (458 nucleotides) under uncultured bacterium. Its description in RNAcentral is "partial 16S ribosomal RNA". It matches the Rfam family "Bacterial small subunit ribosomal RNA", at positions 338 to 792 of the family's 1533-position model. The record is from RNAcentral.